UAAUACGUGGGGUGCGAACGUUAUCCGGAUUUACUGGGCGUAAAGAGUUCGUAGGCGUUUUUCUAAGUUUCAUUUGAAAUACCGAGGCUCAACUUCGGGACCGGAUGAAAUACUAGAAGAAUUGAGUUAGUUAGGGGGUACUGGAACUCAUAGUGUAGCAGUGAAAUGCGUUGAUAUUAUGAGGAACACCAAGGGCGAAGGCAGGUACCUGGGACUAUACUGACGCUGAGGAACGAAAGCUAGGGGAGCGAAAGGGAUUAGAGACCCCUGUAGUCCUAGCCGUAAACUAUGCACGCUUGAUCCCUGAAACUUGUUUUGGGGGUUGGAGCUAACGCGUGAAGCGUGCCGCCUGGGGAGUACGACCGCAAGGUUAAAACUCAAAUGAAUUGACGG
Molecule: ribosomal RNA, 393 nt
Filed under: uncultured bacterium
Lineage: Bacteria
Description: bacterial SSU rRNA
Rfam family: Bacterial small subunit ribosomal RNA
Source: RNAcentral